CCCUUAGAGUUUGAUGGUGGCUCAGAUUGAACGCUGGCGGCAUGCUUUACACAUGCAAGUCGAACGGCAGCACGGGUGCUUGCACCUGGUGGCGAGUGGCGGACGGGUGAGUAAUGCAUCGGAACGUGUCCAGGAGAGGGGGAUAACGCAUCGAAAGAUGUGCUAAUACCGCAUAUUCUCUGAGGAGAAAAGCAGGGGAUCGUAAGACCUUGCGCUUCUGGAGUGGCCGAUGCCUGAUUAGCUAGUUGGUGGGGUAAAGGCCUACCAAGGCGACGAUCAGUAGUUGGUCUGAGAGGACGACCAGCCACACUGGGACUGAGACACGGCCCAGACUCCUACGGGAGGCAGCAGUGGGGAAUUUUGGACAAUGGGCGAAAGCCUGAUCCAGCAAUGCCGCGUGAGUGAAGAAGGCCUUCGGGUUGUAAAGCUCUUUCAGUCGAGAAGAAAAGAUCGUGAUGAAUAAUCACGAUUUAUGACGGUAUCGACAGAAGAAGCACCGGCUAACUACGUGCCAGCAGCCGCGGUAAUACGUAGGGUGCAAGCGUUAAUCGGAAUUACUGGGCGUAAAGGGUGCGCAGGCGGCUUUGUAAGUCAGAUGUGAAAUCCCCGGGCUUAACCUGGGAAUUGCGUUUGAAACUACAAGGCUAGAGUGUAGCAGAGGGGAGUGGAAUUCCAUGUGUAGCAGUGAAAUGCGUAGAGAUAUGGAAGAACAUCGAUGGCGAAGGCAGCUCCCUGGGUUAACACUGACGCUCAUGCACGAAAGCGUGGGGAGCAAACAGGAUUAGAUACCCUGGUAGUCCACGCCCUAAACGAUGUCAACUAGUUGUUGGGCCUUACUAGGCUUAGUAACGUAGCUAACGCGUGAAGUUGACCGCCUGGGGGAGUACGGUCGCAAGAUUAAAACUCAAAGGGAAUUGACGGGGACCCGCACAAGCGGG
Molecule: ribosomal RNA, 938 nt
Filed under: uncultured Nitrosomonas sp.
Lineage: Bacteria; Pseudomonadati; Pseudomonadota; Betaproteobacteria; Nitrosomonadales; Nitrosomonadaceae
Description: bacterial SSU rRNA
Rfam family: Bacterial small subunit ribosomal RNA
Source: RNAcentral